UACGUGCCCCCAGCCGCGGUGAUACGUGCGUGGCAUGCGUUAUCCGGAAUUAUUGACCGUCUAGCGCGCGCAAGUGGUUUCUUACGUCUGAUGCGAACACGCACGCUUCACCCGUGUACGCUCAUUGCUAACUGGCCAACUUGAGUGCUGAAGAGAAAAGAGGAGUUCUCCGCGCUGGGGUGACAUGCCAUCAGAUGUGGAGUAACACCAGUGGCGAGGGCGGCUUUUUGGUCUGUAACUGACGAUGAGGCCAGAAAGCGUGGGGCGCAAACAGGAUUAGAUAGCGUGGUAGUACACGCCGUAAGCGAUGAGUGCUAAGUGUUAGAGGGUCUCCGCCCUUUAGUGCUGCAGCUAACGCAUUAAGCACUCCGCCUGGGGAGUACGGUCGCAAGACUGAAACUCAAAGGAAUUGACGGGGGCCCGCACCAGCGGUGGAGCAUGUGGUUUAAUUCGAAGCAACGCGAAGAACCUUACCAGGUCUUGACAUCCUCUGACAACUCUAGAGAUAGAGCGUUCCCCUUCGGGGGACAGAGUGACAGGUGGUGCAUGGUUGUCGUCAGCUCGUGUCGUGAGAUGUUGGGUUAAGUCCCGCAACGAGCGCAACCCUUGAUCUUAGUUGCCAGCAUUUAGUUGGGCACUCUAAGGUGACUUCCGGUGACAAACCGGAGGAAGGUGGGGAUGACGUCAAAUCUUCAUCCCCCUUAUGACCUGGAGUACACACGUGUUUCAAUGGAUGGUACAAAGGGCUGCAAGUCCGCGAGGUCAAGCCAAUCUCAUAAAACCAUUCUCAGUUCGGAUUGUAGGCUGCAACUCGCGUACAUGAAGCUGGAAUCGCUAGUAAUCGCGGAUCAGCAUGCCGC
This 860-nucleotide ribosomal RNA is filed under the name Bacillus sp. (in: firmicutes). RNAcentral's name for it is "bacterial SSU rRNA". It matches the Rfam family "Bacterial small subunit ribosomal RNA", at positions 502 to 1360 of the family's 1533-position model. Lineage: Bacteria; Bacillati; Bacillota; Bacilli; Caryophanales; Bacillaceae. The record is from RNAcentral.